UGAAGGCUGAAAUUCGCCUUCAUGAAGUCGGAAUUGCUAGUAAUGGCAGGUCAGCAUACUGCCGUGAAUACGUUCUCGGGCCUUGUACACACCGCCCGUCACACCAUGAGAGUUGGAGAUACCCGAAGCCUAUGAGCUAACUUUUAGAGGCAGUAGUCGAAGGUAGAAUCAAUGAUUGGGGGUGAAGUCGUAACAAGGUAAC
RNAcentral lists this ribosomal RNA (202 nucleotides) under uncultured bacterium. RNAcentral's name for it is "partial 16S ribosomal RNA". It matches the Rfam family "Bacterial small subunit ribosomal RNA", at positions 1299 to 1500 of the family's 1533-position model. The record is from RNAcentral.